UUGCCCAUUUGAGACCGACUGUGUCUUUAAGUGGCCAACACAGAAGGGUAAAUAAUUUUCUCUCAAAAACCCAAAGUAAAAGGUUUGUCAGUGCUUUGGAUCCUGUCGGGAGAAACAUUU
Callorhinchus milii (elephant shark) is the source of this 120-nucleotide small nucleolar RNA. RefSeq annotates it as small nucleolar RNA SNORA26. The transcript has a single exon. NCBI's taxonomy places the organism in Eukaryota, Metazoa, Chordata, Chondrichthyes, Chimaeriformes, Callorhinchidae. The record is from RefSeq and is a predicted model, not a curated record.